GGCCCGGAUGGGAGCAUGCAUUCAGCAGUCGACGGUAUGCUCGUGGAGUACCGGGUGUG
Molecule: non-coding RNA, 59 nt
Filed under: Chrysoculter rhomboideus
Lineage: Eukaryota; Haptophyta
Source: RNAcentral